Bactrocera latifrons is the source of this 813-nucleotide long non-coding RNA. RefSeq lists it as uncharacterized. The transcript has 4 exons. Lineage: Eukaryota; Metazoa; Arthropoda; Insecta; Diptera; Tephritidae. The record is from RefSeq and is a predicted model, not a curated record.
AGUUGAAAAGCUUUUUGCUGUCAAACAGCUGUUUUAAUAAAAAUAAGCAAACAAAAAUGGACACACAAAUAGAUAAUCAGCAAAUGCGUACGAAAACGGAAAGGACAACUCAGGAGCAGAUGCAACAUUACGAAUGUUUUGCAAGCAGCAUCCUGAAUUGCAAUGGAGGAAGCUAACUCCGACCAACAAUCAAGGGCUGCAAAUACUUUGGUCGGAGUUAGCAGAUAAUUUAAAUACCUUAAGAGGUCCAACUCGGUCGGCAGCCAAGUGGAGGGAGUCCCUGAUGCAUUGGCACAUGCGCAAGCGACUGGUGCAGGCCCUCCGAUAAAUGGAAUGACUGAAUUCGAGGAGCAAGCAAUUACAAAUUUUGGGGCAGCAGCGGUGGAUGGAUUGCCGGGUAAUGAGACUUUGGGUCACCAGCUCAAGCACCAGCUUCCUCGCUAACACCAGCAGUCACAUCGCCUGCUCCAGCGCCCUCCCCAACAGUUGCAUCGCUUGCUUCAGCAGCCUCACCAACAAUCGCAUCGCCUGCUCCAGCUUUCCUGUUCUUUCUAUAAAUCUUUCUUCUUCACCAUCACCUCCAGAUUCUUUAUAUCCUCCCAUCUUAUCUUAUCCUAUGACAUCGCCUUUUUACAUCCCUUCUGAAAAAUUGACUGCAGCGAAGAUGCUUGGAGCACUGCCAAAAAAAAUGGAGGAUCGAGAGAAGCGAGAGGAGGAGACCAUUGCUCUGCAAAGGAAAAUURUAGAGCAAAAUGUGCAGAUGACAGGGGUGCUGAACCAAAUGACACAAGGCUAAAUUCUCUGAAAAAUUAA